GGAGGUUUCAUUAUGCAGUCAUGGUUCAUUAAAUGGUGAUUAACAAUCUUCAGCCUGUUGCCUCUAGCGAGUGCAUGUCUUUGAGGAGGUGGCGUUGGGAGGCCCCCUAAGGACCCUCUGCCUCUCCUCGGGUCCUUGCCCUGAGUGUGGUAAAACAUGGAGAAACAGGGCUCUUAGCAGAAAGUAGGGGAGUCAGGACUGAUAGAGUGCCAAGUGGAAGUUUAUUUAAAGUGAGGUAAAUACAGAGAAAGCGGAAGAGACAGCAUCUCAGCAGCAGAGUGGAGCUAGGAGAAGAAGCAGCCUGCUUGGGAAGCUCCAAGCCAGCAGGCAGAGGAGCCCUUUGAAGGACUGUUACAGAUGCAGCAGCAACAGUAGCAGCAUAGAUGCUCUGGGGCUGGGAGACCAGCAUCUGAAGGAGCCAGAAGUGUCACCACCAGCCUUCUCACCAGCAGAAAGAGGAUGGGAAACAUCUACAUGUCUUCAUCUGCUGCAGACCCUGAAAUGGCCACUUUGGCAACACAGGAGACCUGGAGCUUGGGCUUUAGUAGAUCAAGCUUUAGUAUUAUGGGAUUGGGUAGGAGCUCAAGUGGAUGGAGAGGCAAGUGGGAUGAUUGACAGACUUCAGAGACAAAGGAAAAUAGUGGGAUAUUAUAAUGAAUAAUAUAAUCAUAUAAAUAAUAUUAAACACAUGUGUUGUUUAGCUUUUUGUUUUUAAAUCACUGUGACCAAAUACUUGAGAAUAUCAAC
This 747-nucleotide long non-coding RNA is filed under the name Chinchilla lanigera (long-tailed chinchilla). RNAcentral describes it as "lncRNA (ENSCLAG00000027975.1)". The record is from RNAcentral. Lineage: Eukaryota; Metazoa; Chordata; Mammalia; Rodentia; Chinchillidae.